This 748-nucleotide long non-coding RNA is filed under the name Physcomitrium patens. RNAcentral describes it as "long non-coding RNA (PPAT_LNC012030)". The record is from RNAcentral. Lineage: Eukaryota; Viridiplantae; Streptophyta; Bryopsida; Funariales; Funariaceae.
AAUACUUAACUUUGCCUCCUACUGUCUACUCUCUCAUAUCAAUAUGAUAACAACCACGACAUCAAUUUCAGUACCUUAUAUAAUUCACGAUCACGAAUACACAAGCAUAACCCAAACCUUGGAACAAACAACUUUCAAUCCACAGAAUCUAAUCGAGACAAUUCCUUUGAUUAUAAUUCAUAUCCACUGAACUCACAACCUUGCGAUAAACAGUGAUCCAUAAACAACUUCGUAAAUCAAAUAUUGAUUCAUUAAAUCGAUUCUCUUCACUAGAAUCAACACCAACACAAAAGAAACAAGAAAACUAAGAAGAAGAGAUAGCACCAAGCUUAUCCCAGCUCAAUACUAUUGCAGUUUGGCUCCCAGCUCAUGACUAUGACAAUCUGGCAUUUUCUUCCUCUCUCCCAUCCUCCUUAUACUACCUCAAGAUACCAACUCUUAUAUUAUGGAUGAUAACUAUUUUUUCUAACUAUUCAUCUAUUCUACCUACUGAACCACUUUUUUAGCAGUUAUCUAUCCAUGUUUACAUUAUACAUUAGAUAUCUACAUUCUCAAAAUAACUACUUAUUCUACAUAGCCCCACUCCUAACUGUGCAGCAUCCCCGCAAACACAAUAUUGAUAAAGAAAAACCAAUCUUUUUUUUUUUUUUUUUUUUUUUUUUUAAUUGAAUUGUUCAAUCUCUUCAAUUUUUGGCAGUGGCUCCAUUUGGUGUUGUUCCAACACUGUAUCUUCUUCUUCUAACUCCUC